RNAcentral lists this ribosomal RNA (234 nucleotides) under uncultured bacterium. RNAcentral describes it as "partial 16S ribosomal RNA". It matches the Rfam family "Bacterial small subunit ribosomal RNA", at positions 97 to 334 of the family's 1533-position model. The record is from RNAcentral.
GGCGGACGGGUGAGUAAUGUAUAGGAACUUGCCUAGUAGUGGGGGACAACGUGUGGAAACGCACGCUAAUACCGCAUACGCUCUACGGAGGAAAGCGGGGGAUCUUCGGACCUCGUGCUACUAGAUGGGCCUAUAUUGGAUUAGCUAGUUGGUAGGGUAAAGGCUUACCAAGGCGACGAUCCAUAGCUGGUUUGAGAGAAUGAUCAGCCACACUGGGACCGAGACACGGCCCAG